GAGCCGAUAACUCAGUGGCAGAGAAUCCUACUCUUUCUAGGAAGACGGAGCGUUCGAUUCCUCCUCGGCUCA
RNAcentral lists this transfer RNA (72 nucleotides) under Bacillus inaquosorum. RNAcentral's name for it is "tRNA-Lys". Lineage: Bacteria; Bacillati; Bacillota; Bacilli; Caryophanales; Bacillaceae. The record is from RNAcentral.